RNAcentral lists this ribosomal RNA (1078 nucleotides) under Frigoribacterium sp. 736G178. Its description in RNAcentral is "bacterial SSU rRNA". It matches the Rfam family "Bacterial small subunit ribosomal RNA", at positions 56 to 1146 of the family's 1533-position model. The record is from RNAcentral. Lineage: Bacteria; Bacillati; Actinomycetota; Actinomycetes; Micrococcales; Microbacteriaceae.
UGCAGUCGAACGGUGAAAGAGGAGCUUGCUCCUCUGGAUCAGUGGCGAACGGGUGAGUAACACGUGAGUAACCUGCCCCAGACUCUGGGAUAAGCACUGGAAACGGUGUCUAAUACCGGAUACGAGCUUCAGCCGCAUGGCUAGGAGCUGGAAAGAAUUUCGGUCUGGGAUGGACUCGCGGCCUAUCAGCUAGUUGGUGAGGUAAUGGCUCACCAAGGCGACGACGGGUAGCCGGCCUGAGAGGGUGACCGGCCACACUGGGACUGAGACACGGCCCAGACUCCUACGGGAGGCAGCAGUGGGGAAUAUUGCACAAUGGGCGCAAGCCUGAUGCAGCAACGCCGCGUGAGGGACGACGGCCUUCGGGUUGUAAACCUCUUUUAGUAGGGAAGAAGCGAAAGUGACGGUACCUGCAGAAAAAGCACCGGCUAACUACGUGCCAGCAGCCGCGGUAAUACGUAGGGUGCAAGCGUUAUCCGGAAUUAUUGGGCGUAAAGAGCUCGUAGGCGGUUUGUCGCGUCUGCUGUGAAAACUGGAGGCUCAACCUCCAGCCUGCAGUGGGUACGGGCAGACUAGAGUGCGGUAGGGGAGAUUGGAAUUCCUGGUGUAGCGGUGGAAUGCGCAGAUAUCAGGAGGAACACCGAUGGCGAAGGCAGAUCUCUGGGCCGUAACUGACGCUGAGGAGCGAAAGCAUGGGGAGCGAACAGGAUUAGAUACCCUGGUAGUCCAUGCCGUAAACGUUGGGAACUAGAUGUAGGGACCAUUCCACGGUUUCUGUGUCGCAGCUAACGCAUUAAGUUCCCCGCCUGGGGAGUACGGCCGCAAGGCUAAAACUCAAAGGAAUUGACGGGGGCCCGCACAAGCGGCGGAGCAUGCGGAUUAAUUCGAUGCAACGCGAAGAACCUUACCAAGGCUUGACAUAUACCGGAAAAGUUCAGAAAUGUUCUCCCCGCAAGGUCGGUAUACAGGUGGUGCAUGGUUGUCGUCAGCUCGUGUCGUGAGAUGUUGGGGUUAAGUCCCGCAACGAGCGCAACCCUCGUUCUAUGUUGCCAGCACGUAAUGGUGGGAACUCAUAGGA